CAGCCGUAAACUAUGCUCGCUAGGUGUCAGGGACGGUGCGACCGUUUCUGGUGCCGCAGGGAAGCCGUGAAGCGAGCCACCUGGGAAGUACGGUCGCAAGGCUGAAACUUAAAGGAAUUGGCGGGGGAGCACUACAACGGGUGGAGCCUGCGGUUUAAUUGGACUCAACGCCGGAAAACUCACCGGGGGCGACAGCAAUAUGUAGGUCAAGCUAAAGACUCUACCAGAAUCGCUGAGAGGAGGUGCAUGGCGUAGACGUCU
RNAcentral lists this ribosomal RNA (261 nucleotides) under uncultured archaeon. RNAcentral describes it as "partial 16S ribosomal RNA". It matches the Rfam family "Archaeal small subunit ribosomal RNA", at positions 748 to 1009 of the family's 1478-position model. The record is from RNAcentral.